AUUGAACGCUGGCGGCAGGCCUAACACAUGCAAGUCGAACGAGUGGCGGACGGGUGAGUAAUGUCUGGGAAACUGCCCGAUGGAGGGGGAUAACUACUGGAAACGGUAGCUAAUACCGCAUACCAUCGGAUGUGCCCAGAUGGGAUUAGCUGGUAGGUGAGGUAACGGCUCACCUAGGCGACGGUCCCUAGCUGGUCUGAGAGGAUGACCAGCCACACUGGGACUGAGACACGGGCCAGAAUCCGACGGGAGGCAGCAGUGGGGAAUAUGGCACAAUGGGCGCAAGCCUGAUGCAGCGAUGCCGCGUGUAUGAAGAAGGCCUUCGGGUUGUAAAGUACUUUCAGCAGGGAGGCGUGAGCCGCAGAAGAAGCACCGGCUAACUCCGUGCCAGCAGCCGCGGGAAUAC
RNAcentral lists this ribosomal RNA (406 nucleotides) under uncultured bacterium. RNAcentral describes it as "partial 16S ribosomal RNA". It matches the Rfam family "Bacterial small subunit ribosomal RNA", at positions 29 to 526 of the family's 1533-position model. The record is from RNAcentral.